ACACAUUUUCCUUCUUAAACUAUUAUUGAAGGAAAAACUACCGCGCGAAGUUUUGCAAUGGGGUAUUAGUACAUUCACCCUAAUAGUACACUUUCUCUCCAAUUCCAAGUAGCAUGUCGGCGUUGCGAUUUAAAUUUUUCCUCAGAGAUACUGCAGUUCGAAGAUUUUGGAAUACAUGGACUCGAAAUUAUCUUAUAAAUACUGUAGUGAGAAAGUUCAGACGUGACAGGGGUGUCAGGGAGGUUAUACAGUGUUUCAAACAAGUAAUUUUCCGGCCACGGCGAACCUUGCUGUUGACGGCCACGGCGGUGUGUAAAGGUCGUGAUAAAGGGUUCCCCUGCGAGCAAGGCAUAUCUGAUAAUGAAUUACAGGAAUUGCUGGAUGAAAUGGAAGGGCUUGAUAAAUUGGCUAAGCUGACUGUCUAUUGCACAAGUUGUGGAAAAAGAUUAGUGAUUGAUAAAAAACAGAAUGGAGUCUCAUACUGUGUAUGCAAAGACUCGAAACCUAGUCAAGAAUCCGUAGACGGUUGGGUGCCAUAUAUGGAAGCAGUUGAUGUUAUUAUAUGGAGGAAGGAGUACAAGCCGGGAACUGGGCAAUAUGCAUAUAAAGUCUAUGGCCGGUACCCGGAAGUGUCAGCCAGUGAUUACGCGGCCGUACAAAUAGAUGGCGCUUAUCGAAAGGCCUGGGAUAGUGCGGUGGCUGCGUUGUCUGUGGUGCAGAGAGGUGCUCAUGGUAUUGCUGAUCAGGCGGUCAUGCAUUGGGAGGUUCUUUGGCCUAGACUAUUCGCGAAUCGAGAUUACGUAUACAUAAGACGUCACAAGGAAGUCGAGCUAACGACACCAAAGACGUACGACUUCACUAGCGUGCACGCGAAAACGAGACAGAAAUAUGACGAGCAGGCGAGUGUGAGGGAUGGCAAUAAGGUGUAUAUUAUACUAUCGAAAGCGUGCGAACAUCCAGACGUACCGGAAACGAAGCACGCGAUCCGAGUCACGGAGUAUUGGAGUCAUAUGGUUGUUAAGACCAUACAUGGUGCUGAUAAGCCCGGUAUGGAGUUCGUUCUAACGUACUACGAUGAGCCGGCCGUGGGCGGGAUGCCGGGCGGGGUCGCCGCUUGGGCGUCGAGUCGUGCCGCCCCCGACUACUUGUUGAAAAUGAGAAGAGCAGCUACGGAAUAUAGAAGCUGGGCGAAUCGGAGGGGUAAACAGAAUUGGACGCAGCGGAGGAGUAGACAGGAUUUACCAGACUUCACACCAUUUGGCCCUGACGAAGUGAGUUUCGAAGAGAACGUUGAACAAAUAAACGAACAGGAUAUGGAGUCGUCAAAAUUAGGUCCAGAUUUAGAGUGCGAUUUGGAAAAGAAAGAUAAAGAAACACAGACGGAUAUAAAUGAUAAAAUUGUAAAAACAGAGGAAACAGCAAAUACAGAGAAAAAUGAGAAAAACGAAGAAAAUGUGGAAAGCAAAGUAGAAGCCCAAAGUGAAGCACAAGGGGAUACUGAAAAGACAGAAAGUGUUAAACCAAGUGAACGGGGGGAAAGUGAAGAGGAAAAAGGGGAAAAAGAUACACAGGAGGUCAACAAUGAAGACAACGGAAACGGUAGCUGGUGGAGAUAUUUGUAUCCUUUCUAUUAUUUUGUAUAGACCUGUCAAAAAUGCUGACACGGUGAAAUAAUCUGACAGUGUUCCUGUUUGUAUGUCGAAAUUCAUUUAACUAUGACUUUAACUGUCAUGAAAACGUCAAUGAUGUUGGGUGCUGUGUCAAAUUUGUUGAUGAUAACGGUAUUGUCACUGUCAAAAUGGUCGGUUUUGACAGCACUGUAACUGUCAUUCGAUUGUAUCAAAUGUGACUGAUGGACUGUGUCAGUGGUCGAUUUACUAUACCAGGGGCUUGAGAUAAAAACACUGCGACGGGCGUGUCCCAUAACGCCAAAGGAAUUUGUAUGGCGAUGACAUUAGCUCACGAUCACGUGACCAUUUUCAUACAUUCGUUUGGCGUUAGUCAGUCACGACUGUUGAGAAGCGAUAUUCUCUCAAUCCCAUGGUCUUUUACAUGCAUGGACAGUAUUAUUUGUAGUAGAAUAAAGUUUUAACCUUAAAUGAUGGGUCGAUUUAACUGUUAUAGUGAAUUUUAACAUAACAAUAUGUCAAAGCUGUGCGGUACUGUCACUGUCAAAAUGUUCUGUAACUGUCAUAAUGACAGUGUUAAAUGUGUGACUUUGACGGUAGUAUGACAGUGGUCGAUUUUAAUUAUAGACAAAAUCACUUCGGGAUAGGGGUGACCAAAAAGAACUCCAAAGGAGUUUGUAUGGGCAUGGUCACGUGAUAUGUAGUACCCAUUGAACUGUGCCAUAAGCCAAAAAUGUCCACCUUAAUAGGAUUUAUACCUGUAUUCUAAACGUCAAAUUAUCUAGUUUCAAGAGCUUUUUUUCUGUAUAGAUAGAUUAAGGGUCUGUUUCACAAUGUAUGGAUAAAGUACCGAAUAGCUA
Pieris napi is the source of this 2488-nucleotide RNA transcript. RefSeq lists it as uncharacterized. The record is from RefSeq and is a predicted model, not a curated record. The transcript is spliced from 11 exons. NCBI's taxonomy places the organism in Eukaryota, Metazoa, Arthropoda, Insecta, Lepidoptera, Pieridae.